Molecule: ribosomal RNA, 332 nt
Filed under: uncultured bacterium
Lineage: Bacteria
Description: bacterial SSU rRNA
Rfam family: Bacterial small subunit ribosomal RNA
Source: RNAcentral
CGUGUAGGCGGUUGGUCAAGUCUGGUGUGAAAGCCCGGGGCUCACCCCCGGAAGUGCAUCGGAAACUAGCCAGCUAGAGCGCGAUAGAGGAGGGUGGAAUUCCUGGUGUAGCGGUGAAAUGCGUAGAUAUCAGGAGGAACACCGGCGGCGAAGGCGGCCCUCUGGAUCGUUGCUGACGCUGAGACGCGAAAGCGUGGGGAGCAAACAGGAUUAGAUACCCUGGUAGUCCACGCUGUAAACGAUGGGUACUAGGUGUUCGGGGUAUUGACCCCCUGAGUGCCGCAGCUAACGCAUUAAGUACCCCGCCUGGGGACUACGACCGCAAGGUUAAA